UACGAAGGGGGCUAGCGUUGCUCGGAAUGACUGGGCGUAAAGGGCGCGUAGGCGGCUUGUAUAGUCGGAUGUGAAAUUCCUGGGCUUAACCUGGGGGCUGCAUACGAGACGUAUGGGCUUGAGUGCGGAAGAGGGUCGUGGAAUUCCCAGUGUAGAGGUGAAAUUCGUAGAUAUCUGGAGGAACACCGGUGGCGAAGGCGGCAUCCUGGACCACGACUGACACUGAAAAGCGAAAGCCAGGGGAGCAAACGGG
This 253-nucleotide ribosomal RNA is filed under the name uncultured bacterium. RNAcentral's name for it is "partial 16S ribosomal RNA". It matches the Rfam family "Bacterial small subunit ribosomal RNA", at positions 524 to 776 of the family's 1533-position model. The record is from RNAcentral.